This is a microRNA precursor of Myotis lucifugus (little brown bat), 88 nucleotides long. The record is from Ensembl. NCBI's taxonomy places the organism in Eukaryota, Metazoa, Chordata, Mammalia, Chiroptera, Vespertilionidae.
CGGAUGGCGCCGGUGCCGCGGGCCCAUACCCGGCUGUAGUUCUUCCAAGGAGAACUUGGAAGGCCAAAGUGGAGAAGGGUUCCAUGAG